RNAcentral lists this small nuclear RNA (302 nucleotides) under Cebus imitator (Panamanian white-faced capuchin). RNAcentral describes it as "7SK RNA (ENSCCAG00000004250.1)". It matches the Rfam family "7SK RNA". Rfam says of the family: 7SK was discovered as an abundant small nuclear RNA in the mid-70s but a possible function has only recently been suggested. Two independent studies have found that 7SK RNA binds the CDK9/cyclin T complex (known as elongation factor P-TEFb). Lineage: Eukaryota; Metazoa; Chordata; Mammalia; Primates; Cebidae. The record is from Rfam by way of RNAcentral.
GGAUGUGAGGGUAAUCUGGCUGUGACAUCUGUCACCCCAUUGAUUGCCAGGAUUGUUUCAUCUGAUCUGGCUGGCUAGGCAGCUGUCUGCUUCCUCCUUAACCUCUCCAUGUGUGUCCCUGUAGAAGUUGUGCACUUGGUAAGGGGAUGACCAUCCCCCAUAGAGGAGGACGAGUAUUUAGUCAAGGGCAUACCAGUAGCUGUGCUCCCCUGCUAGAACCUCCAAACAAGCUCUAAAGUGUAAGUAACAUGUAUGUGUUUUUGUAUAUACACAUAUGUACAUACAUUUUUCAGUACUUAUGU